CUCUUUUUGUAGUUCAUAAAUGUGGGGGCUGGGUUUUCACACUCAUAUAUGAAAUGUUCCUCCCACAACACAUUAACAAUCUGAUG
RNAcentral lists this small nucleolar RNA (86 nucleotides) under Otolemur garnettii (small-eared galago). RNAcentral's name for it is "Small nucleolar RNA U13 (ENSOGAG00000024899.1)". The record is from RNAcentral. Lineage: Eukaryota; Metazoa; Chordata; Mammalia; Primates; Galagidae.